CGGGACGGGUGAGUAAUGUCUGGGAAACUGCCUGAUGGAGGGGGAUAACUACUGGAAACGGUAGCUAAUACCGCAUAACGUCGCAAGACCAAAGAGGGGGACCUUCGGGCCUCUUGCCAUCGGAUGUGCCCAGAUGGGAUUAGCUAGUAGGUGGGGUAACGACUCACCUAGGCGACGAUCCCUAGCUGGUCUGAGAGGAUGACCAGCCACACUGGAACUGAGACACGGUCCAG
Molecule: ribosomal RNA, 233 nt
Filed under: uncultured bacterium
Lineage: Bacteria
Description: partial 16S ribosomal RNA
Rfam family: Bacterial small subunit ribosomal RNA
Source: RNAcentral